RNAcentral lists this long non-coding RNA (1355 nucleotides) under Oryctolagus cuniculus (rabbit). RNAcentral describes it as "lncRNA (ENSOCUG00000036588.1)". Lineage: Eukaryota; Metazoa; Chordata; Mammalia; Lagomorpha; Leporidae. The record is from RNAcentral.
UAUGUGUAAUCAGCUCUCUGACUUAGUGCCUUAUUAGAAAUUAAUUUUAAGGCAUUUCCUAAUUUCCCAAGAGAGUGAAAAAGGCAACAAUUUAUAUAGGAAUGAAAAGAAGGGAACAAUUCCAGAGGAUCAAGAGAGUGAAGCAAACCUUAUGAGAGAAAGGGAACUUGAACUAGACUUUGGAGGAAGGAAGGGAUUUAGUUAAGCAGGGAGUAGGAGGGGAGGCACCAGGGAGCCAUCACUACUGUUAAGUUUGAUGAAGCACUUGAAUUACAGCUUCCAGGAGAACAUUGACUUUCUUAAUCCACAUUUUAAUUUUUAUUGAGCUAGCAGAAAACUCAUUAGAAUUAUCUUGUUCACCUCAAGUUCUCCUUUCUCCAAUCCAUGACAGAUCACCGUCUGUAUCCCCUUCCUGCCCCUUGCUAAGCCUUGAGAAUCACAAAGCAAGUGCUUUUGUCCUCUUUGAAUAUGAGAACUUAUCAUCUCAUUGAUAAAGGUGGGUCCUCUUUCACUACUCAAAGUUAUCCAUAACCCUCUUCCUUGUACUAUAACAUACCCUGUGCUUCCAUGAUCUACCCCUUCUUUCCUCCUAGACAAUAGAACAAUAACUAAGAUCAAGUCACAGCAAAAUCUAAUUAGGAAUGUGAAAGGAAAGGGGAUAUAAACAAAAAGAACUCUGGGACCUUGUCAGUAUGUACUAGCAGGCUGAGAAAGUAUAAUAGAUGAAAACCUAAAGCCAAGACACUCUGGCCAAAAAAAAAAAAAAAAAAAAAACUAAAUGAAAGAUCUCCAUGACUGAUAUCCCAGUGGAAAGAACAGGUCAUCAAAGAAGGAGGUACCUUUCUCUGAAGGGAGGAGAGAACUUCCACUCUGACUACGACCUUGUCUAAAUAUGAUCAGAGUCGGUGAACUCAAAAGGCUUCCAUAGCCUUGGCAACUCAUGACAAGAGCCUAGGGUGAUUACUGAUGCCAUAAACAAGGGUUUCAAUUUGUUAAGUCAACAGCAGGAGUCACUGUGCACUUACUCCUCAUGUAGGAUCUCUGUCCUUAAUGUGCGGUACAUUGUGAUUUAAUGCUAUAACUAGUACUCAAACAGUAUUUUUCACUUUGUGUUUCUAUGUGGGUGCAAACUGUUGAAAUCUUUACUUAAUAUAUACUAAACUGAUCUUCUGUAUAUAAAGAGAAUUGAAAAUGAAUCUUGAUGUGAAUGGAAGGGGAGAGGGAGUGGGAAAGGAGAGGGUUGUGGGUUGGAGGGAGUUUAUGGGGGGGGGGGAGCCAUUGUAAUCCAUAAGCUGUACUUUGGAAAUUUGCAUUCAUUAAAUAAAAGUAAAAAAAUUAAAAAAAGAAUAAAAAUU